RNAcentral lists this unclassified non-coding RNA (305 nucleotides) under uncultured fungus. RNAcentral describes it as "partial contains small subunit ribosomal RNA, internal transcribed spacer 1, and 5.8S ribosomal RNA". The stretch from base 1 to 73 matches the Rfam family "Eukaryotic small subunit ribosomal RNA", at positions 1759 to 1831 of the family's 1831-position model. The record is from RNAcentral. Lineage: Eukaryota; Fungi.
GCAAACUUGGUCAUUUAGAGGAAGUAAAAGUCGUAACAAGGUUUCCGUAGGUGAACCUGCGGAAGGAUCAUUACCGAAGUGCAAGAAUCCCAUUCUUGAAACCCAAUCCGUGUACUCGUACUUGUUGCUUUCGUGGGCGGCGGAGAGAGGCGCAGCUUCGCUCCCCUCACCUCUUCGGAGGCGUCCGCGAAAGGUUUACCGAAUCUCUGCAUUUUUGGUUGUAACGUCGGAUUUCAUACUAUUCAAUGAACGUUAAAACUUUCAACAACGGAUCUCUUGGUUCUCGCAUCGAUGAAGAACGCAGC